AUGAACAUUGUAUCUGGAUCUCGUUUGAUGCGAGAUGGCUACUCAUUUAAAUCAGAGAAUAAUGGUUGUUCUAUUUAUAUGAGAGAUAUGUUUUAUGGUCAUGCCCCGUUGGUCAAUGGUUUAUUCUUAAUGAAUCUCGAAAGUGAUGUUACACAUAUUCAUAGUGUGAAUGCCAAGAAAUGUAAGGUUGAUAAUGAUAGUCCCACAUACUUGCGGCACUGCCGCCUUGGUCACACUGGUGUCAAACGUAUGAAGAAACUCCAUGCAGAUGGACUUUUGGAGUCUCUUGAUUAUGAAUCAUUUGACACGUGCGAACCAUGCCUCAUGGGCAAAAUGACCAAGACUCCGUUCUCCGGAACAAUGGAGCGAGCAACCAACUUAUUGGAAAUCAUACAUACUGAUGUGUGCGGUCCAAUGAGCGUUGAGGCUCGCGGUGGCUAUCGUUAUAUUCUCACCCUCACUGAUGACUUGAGUAGAUAUGAGUAUGUCUACUUAAUGAAACACAAGUCUGAGACCUUUGAAAAGUUCAAGGAAUUUCAGAGUGAGAUUGAGAAUCAACGUGACAGGAAAAAUAAAGUUCUUACGAUCAGAUCGUGGAGGGGAAUAUUUGAGUCACGAAUUUGGCACAUACUUAAGGAAAUGUGGAAUUGUUUCACAACUCACGCCGCCUGGAACACCACAGCGUAA
This 687-nucleotide ribosomal RNA is filed under the name Triticum aestivum (bread wheat). RNAcentral's name for it is "partial small subunit ribosomal RNA". The record is from RNAcentral. Lineage: Eukaryota; Viridiplantae; Streptophyta; Magnoliopsida; Poales; Poaceae.